This is an RNA transcript of Populus nigra (black poplar), 3190 nucleotides long. RefSeq lists it as uncharacterized. The record is from RefSeq and is a predicted model, not a curated record. The transcript has 12 exons. Lineage: Eukaryota; Viridiplantae; Streptophyta; Magnoliopsida; Malpighiales; Salicaceae.
CAAGGGGAUGCCCGAAGUUUGUCCACAGCAGGAUCUCCAAACUCCAUGGCGCUUCUUUCUCUUCUAGUCUCAAAACCCUCACUCAAAACCUCCUUUCUCCCCCUCACUUCUCACUUAAUUCCCAUCAUGCCCUCUUCCCCUCUCUCUUCUCAUUGCACCACCCCCACUUUCCCAUUGCCUUCUCAAUCUCCUCCUGUGCCAAAGAAACGACCUUUCAAUAUCUCUGCUCAUACCAGAACGUGGCAAGAUCCUUAUUAUUGGAUGAGAAACGCUAAAGACCCUGACUUUGUUGAUUAUCUCAACCAAGAAAACUCUUACGCUCAAGCUUUCAUGGCUGACACUCAAAACCUGCAGAGGACUUUGCUCGAGGAAAUGAAAAAUCGACUGCCUACUCAGAUUUCAACUCCUCCUGAGCGCUGGGGUCACUGGUUGUACUACCAGUACAUUCCUGAGGGGAAGGAAUACCCAGUUCUAUGUAGAAGGUUGGAAACUGAGGAAAGUGGUUUGUUAAAGACACUUCUCAAUUAUGCCAAGGGACAUUUUGGGAUGGAGCAAGUUUUGCUUGACUGGAACCAAAUUGCUGAACAAUACGGUUAUGUGCAUGUGGGUACAUGUCGGGUUUCACCAGAUCACAAGUUUCUUGCAUACACACUUGACAUUACUGGCAAUGAACAAUUCUUACUUCAAGUUAAGGACCUCAGCAAUGGAUAUAUUGUUUCACGAUCACAAGUUGAUGGGGUUGUUAGUUUGGCAUGGGCUCAAGAUAGCACUACUUUGUUCUACACAGUAUCGGAUGAGAAUCAACGACCUUACAGGGUUCUCUUCACAAAACUAGGAUCAGAUGAGAUAGAUGAUGUCCCAGUAUUUACAGAAAGUAAUUCAAGUUUUUGUGUGGAUAUAACAAGCACAAAAGAUGGCAAGUUUAUCACUGUGAACUCAAAUUCAAGAACUUCAUCCGAGGUUUAUGUGAUAGAUGCAACCAACCCGCUGGAUGGUUUACAAAGAGUACGCGAGCGUGUUUCUGGAGUGCGAUAUUUUUUGGAACAUCACUAUGGUGUGUUCUAUAUUCUUACAAAUGCUCCAUUAAGUGAAAGUGAGGACCGGUCAGAUGGAAAUUAUUAUUUGGCUCAAUGCGAAGUUGAAGAUAUACAAUCUUCUGAUUGGCAGAAUAUCAUCCUUCCAAGUGAAGAUAUGAGCUUUCAAGACAUGGACAUUUUUAAUGGACAUUUGGUCCUCUUUGUCAAUAAGAAGAGCUUUCCUGCAUUAUGUUCUGUCAAUUUGCCAAUCAAGUUUAACAGUGUGAAUCAGUUGGAGAUUGAGAAUCUUGAUCCUUGGUUUUUUCCCCUGCCCUCAAGUCAAUGUAACAUCGUUCCAGGAUCAAACCAUGACUUCAUGAACCCAGUAUACCGUGUGGUGCUGUCAUCUCCGGUGAUGCCUGGUGUGGUUGUUGACUAUAACAUGUCAGAACGGAUAUUGUCGAUUGUGCAACAAGAGAAAGUAAGAGAUAUUUCUGGUGAUUGUGGAUCAUGCUCACUGGCUUACGAGCUAGAUACUUCUGAACAUCUUGACCCACUAAACAAUAAGGACAAAAAUAACUUGAAUAUUGAAUUGCAAAGAUGGAAAGACUUUUCUGGUGCAUAUUGCUGCAAAACAAAGGAAGUCAUUUCCCAUGAUGGUGUCAGGGUUCCUCUGACCAUUUUGUACUCCCGAAAAGCCUGGCAGAGGGGUCAAUCUCCUGGACUGUUAGAGGGCUAUGGAGCAUAUGGGGAAGUUCUAGAUAAAAGCUGGUGCUCAGACCGCCUGAGUUUACUUGAUCGUGGUUGGGUGCUGGCCUUUGCUGAUGUGAGGGGUGGCGGUGGUCAUUCUUUGUGGCAUAAAUACGGCAGUGGGUUGAACAAAUGCAAUUCAAUAUAUGACUUCAUAUCAUGUGGCAACUACCUAGUUUCUGAGGGCUAUGUUCAUAGAGAUCGGCUAGGUGCCAUUGGAUUUAGUGCAGGGGGUCUUCUUGUUGGGGCAGCUAUCAAUAUGAACCCAGAUUUAUUUCGUGCUGCCAUUUUGAAGGUUCCAUUUCUUGAUGCAUGCAACACGUUGCUGGAUCCAAGUUUGCCUCUCACCUUGCUGGACUACGAAGAAUUUGGGAAUCCUCAGAUACAGUCGCAGUUUGAGUCUAUUUUAAGUUAUUCUCCUUAUGAUAACAUUCCUCGUGAUGCUUGCCUUCCAUCAAUGCUUGUAACUGCAUCUUUUCAUGACUCAAGGGUUGGAGUUUGGGAAGCUGCCAAAUGGGUGGCCAGAACACGAGACAUUGCAUGUUCUCAUUGUUCUCGUUCAGUCAUUCUGAAAACAAAUAUGACUGGAGGGCAUUUUGGUGAAGGCGGUUGCUAUAGUCAAUGUGAAGAAACAGCUUAUGAUUAUGCUUUUCUGAUGAAAACUAUAGGAAAUGUGAAUGGCAAUAAAUAAGAUAAGCUUGUCGCAGAGCUGCUUUCUGAAAUUAACAGAAAGGUGCUGCUUGACUGCCUGUAAAGCAUGAUUUCUAUGUUGCAAUCCUACUUCCAGCAUUCGUUUUCCCAUCUUGCGGAUGACUGUUUCUUUUUCUGUUUCUGUACUUCGAAGAUGAAAUUUGUUCCUGCUGUACUUAUGAAGAGAACAUGAAAACAGCUGUUGAAGGUCAUCGAUUGCAUGUUUCAAUCGUCCAGUCAUAGAUCUUUUUCUUUCUCCACUUGAAUUAUUAAGAUGUGCUGGCCUAUCACACAUGCUCGCUUAGAGAUUGCUUCCAUUAAGACAAUUAAUGAUCCGAAAGUGAUAUAUAUGUGGCACUUGGAACACACAACUGUUUGAUCCAUCGUACCAGAUUGGAGGACUUACAUGGGAUGCUUUCUCCUUUAUAAUGAAGACAGCUCAUGCAUAUCGGGGAAACGGGGAAACCAGCGAGAAGAUUCCAGGUCAGCACAGAGAAAGGGUCGUGUCUGCUACAAACAGUUGAAGCAUCAUUCGACAUUUUUUCCUAGAUGUUAGAGCCUCUUGUUCUGUAGGAGUCGUUAUGACAAACAAAUAUCCAACAACCAGGUGGCAUCCCUCAUCGUAUUUUGGCCUGUAGGCCUAUAGAUGCUGUAAAACAUCAAACAAUUUUAAACUAUGAUAAACCUUAUGUAUUUCGGUACGCUCUCCGUAUUCAUAUAAGGCACUUUCUCCA